RNAcentral lists this ribosomal RNA (748 nucleotides) under uncultured cyanobacterium. RNAcentral describes it as "bacterial SSU rRNA". It matches the Rfam family "Bacterial small subunit ribosomal RNA", at positions 1 to 795 of the family's 1533-position model. Lineage: Bacteria; Bacillati; Cyanobacteriota. The record is from RNAcentral.
GCUUAGAGUUUGAUCCUGGCUCAGGAUGAACGCUGGCGGUAUGCUUAACAUAUGCAAGUCGAACGGAGUACUUCGGUACUUAGUGGCGGACGGGUGAGUAACGCGUGAGAAUCUGCCUUCAGGAUGGGGAUAACAGUGGGAAACCAUUGCUAAUACCCAAUGAGCCGAGAGGUAAAAAAUUUAUUGCCUGAAGAGGAGCUCGCGUCCGAUUAGUUAGUUGGUGGGGUAAAGGCUUACCAAGACGGCGAUCGGUAGCUGGUCUGAGAGGAUGAGCAGCCACACUGGGACUGAGACACGGCCCAGACUCCUACGGGAGGCAGCAGUGGGGAAUUUUCCGCAAUGGGCGAAAGCCUGACGGAGCAAUACCGCGUGAGGGAGGAAGGCCUUAGGGUUGUAAACCUCUUUUCUUAAGGAAGAAGAUCUGACGGUACUUAAGGAAUCAGCAUCGGCUAACUCCGUGCCAGCAGCCGCGGUAAUACGGAGGAUGCAAGCGUUAUCCGGAAUUAUUGGGCGUAAAGCGUCCGCAGGCGGCACUAUAAGUCUGCUGUCAAAGACCGCAGCUCAACUGCGGAAAGGCAGUGGAAACUGUAGAGCUAGAGUACGGUAGGGGUAGAGGGAAUUCCCAGUGUAGCGGUGAAAUGCGUAGAGAUUGGGAAGAACACCAGUGGCGAAAGCGCUCUACUGGGCCGUAACUGACGCUCAGGGACGAAAGCUAGGGGAGCGAAAGGGAUUAGAUACCCCUGUAGUC